This 253-nucleotide ribosomal RNA is filed under the name uncultured bacterium. RNAcentral describes it as "partial 16S ribosomal RNA". It matches the Rfam family "Bacterial small subunit ribosomal RNA", at positions 524 to 776 of the family's 1533-position model. The record is from RNAcentral.
UACGUAGGGUGCAAGCGUUGUCCGGAAUUAUUGGGCGUAAAGAGCUCGUAGGCGGUCUGUCGCGUCGGCUGUGAAAACCCGGGGCUCAACCCCGGGCCUGCAGUCGAUACGGGCAGAUUAGAGUGCGGUAGGGGAGACUGGAAUUCCUGGUGUAGCGGUGAAAUGCGCAGAUAUCAGGAGGAACACCGGUGGCGAAGGCGGGUCUCUGGGCCGUAACUGACGCUGAGGAGCGAAAGCAUGGGGAGCGAACAGG